This 253-nucleotide ribosomal RNA is filed under the name uncultured bacterium. Its description in RNAcentral is "partial 16S ribosomal RNA". It matches the Rfam family "Bacterial small subunit ribosomal RNA", at positions 524 to 776 of the family's 1533-position model. The record is from RNAcentral.
UACGUAGGGAGCAAGCGUUACCCGGAUUUAUUGGGUGUAAAGGGUGCGUAGACGGAGAAGCAAGUUAGUUGUGAAAUCCCUCGGCUUAACUGAGGAACUGCAACUAAAACUACUUCCCUUGAGUACUGGAGAGGAAAGUGGAAUUCCUAGUGUAGCGGUGAAAUGCGUAGAUAUUAGGAGGAACACCAGUGGCGAAGGCGACUUUCUGGACAGUAACUGACGUCGAGGCACGAAAGUGUGGGGAGCAAACAGG